CAAGGGCGAGGGGGUGGGCAUGUACUUCGAGGAAUA
Molecule: ribosomal RNA, 36 nt
Filed under: Crustomastix stigmatica
Lineage: Eukaryota; Viridiplantae; Chlorophyta; Mamiellophyceae; Dolichomastigales; Crustomastigaceae
Description: partial Eukaryotic small subunit ribosomal RNA
Source: RNAcentral